RNAcentral lists this ribosomal RNA (406 nucleotides) under uncultured bacterium. RNAcentral describes it as "partial 16S ribosomal RNA". It matches the Rfam family "Bacterial small subunit ribosomal RNA", at positions 28 to 526 of the family's 1533-position model. The record is from RNAcentral.
GACGAACGCUGGCGGCGUGCUUAACACAUGCAAGUCGAGGGACCGGCGCCCGGGUGAGUAACACGUAUACAACCUGCCCUUUACUCGGGGAUAGCCUUUCGAAAGAAAGAUUAAUACACGCUAUAAAGGAUGGGGAUGCGUUCCAUUCGGUUGUUGGUGAGGUAACGGCCCAACAAGCCUUCGAUGGAUAGGGGUUCUGAGAGUAAGGUCCCCCACAUUGGAACUGGUACCCGGUCCAAACUCCUACGGGAGGCAGCAGUGAGGAAUAUUGGUCAAUGGGCGCUAGCCUGAACCAGCCAAGUAUCGUGAAGGAUGAAGGCUUAUUGGUCGUAAACUUCUUUUAUAUAAGAAUAUGUAUUAUAUGAAUAAGGAUCGGCUAACUCCGUGCCAGCAGCCGCGGUAAUUC